This 402-nucleotide ribosomal RNA is filed under the name uncultured bacterium. RNAcentral's name for it is "bacterial SSU rRNA". It matches the Rfam family "Bacterial small subunit ribosomal RNA", at positions 355 to 774 of the family's 1533-position model. The record is from RNAcentral.
UGGGGAAUAUUGGACAAUGGGGGAAACCCCGAUCCAGCAAUGCCGCGUGAGUGAAGAAGGCCUUAGGGUUGUAAAGCUCUUUCGCCCGCGAAGAUAAUGACGGUAGCGGGAGAAGAAGCCCCGGCUAACUCCGUGCCAGCAGCCGCGGUAAUACGGAGGGGGCUAGCGUUGUUCGGAAUUACUGGGCGUAAAGCGUACGUAGGCGGAUGCGCAAGUUGGGGGUGAAAUCCCGGGGCUUAACCUCGGAAUUGCCCUCAAAACCGCACGUCUUGAGACCGAGAGAGGUAAGGGGAAUUCCUAGUGUAGAGGUGAAAUUCGUAGAUAUUAGGAAGAACACCAGUGGCGAAGGCGCCUUACUGGCUCGGUACUGACGCUGAGGUACGAAAGCGUGGGGAGCAAACA